This 674-nucleotide long non-coding RNA is filed under the name Arabidopsis lyrata. RNAcentral describes it as "long non-coding RNA (ALYR_LNC000603)". Lineage: Eukaryota; Viridiplantae; Streptophyta; Magnoliopsida; Brassicales; Brassicaceae. The record is from RNAcentral.
GAUGGUGAAGGCAGCAACCGCUGUCACAGCCGGUGGAUCCCUCCUUGUCCUUUCCGGCUUAACGCUCGCCGGAACAGUGAUCGCACUCACGGUAGCCACUCCUCUCCUCGUCAUCUUCAGCCCCGUCUUGGUUCCAGCAGUGAUCACCGUCGCUCUCAUCAUCACCGGAUUUCUUGCAUCUGGUGGCUUUGGAAUAGCCGCCAUUACCGCCUUCUCUUGGGUCUACAGGUAAUUUAUGAACACAAACAAAACGUGACCUACAGGUUUCAAACCUAGCUUGCAAUGCACGUUACAGUUUAUAUUAAGAGUUAGUUUGAAUAUUGGUGAAUAUAUAUAUUUAGGCACUUGACGGGAUCUGGAUCGGAGAAGAUAGAGAAUGCUCGGAUGAAGGUGGGGAGCAGAGUGCAGGAUACCAAGUAUGGGCAGCACAACAUUGGAGUCCAACACCAACAAGCUUCUUAAAAUUCAAAGGCUAAAAUCGAUUUCCCACAUUAAAUUGUCAUCCAUCGUUUGAUCUCUCUUCUCAUUGUUUUUCCUCAACGUUUGUGUUGUCAUAAUGUAUGAUAAUAACAUGCAAUGUAUGAUGUAAUCUUAAUUUCCUUCUUCUUUUCUUUGUUGUUGGUUUGCGAGUAAUGUUUUGAUCCUUCUAUUCUAUGUGAGCGGAAAUCUUCAUA